This 473-nucleotide ribosomal RNA is filed under the name uncultured delta proteobacterium. Its description in RNAcentral is "bacterial SSU rRNA". It matches the Rfam family "Bacterial small subunit ribosomal RNA", at positions 400 to 863 of the family's 1533-position model. Lineage: Bacteria; Deltaproteobacteria. The record is from RNAcentral.
CGUGAGUGAUGAAGGCCUUCGGGUCGUAAAGCUCUGUCAAGUGGGAAGAACCUAUGCAGUGUUAAUGUCACUGUGUACUGACGGUACCACUGAAGGAAGCACCGGCUAACUCCGUGCCAGCAGCCGCGGUAAUACGGGGGGUGCAAGCGUUAUUCGGAAUCAUUGGGCGUAAAGAGCACGUAGGCGGCCUGGUAAGUCAGAUGUGAAAGCCCGGGGCUUAACCCCGGAAGUGCAUUUGAUACUGUCAGGCUUGAGUAUGGGAGAGGGAAGUGGAAUUCUUGGUGUAGAGGUGAAAUUCGUAGAUAUCAGGAGGAACACCGGUGGCGAAGGCGACUUCCUGGACCAAUACUGACGCUGAGGUGCGAAGGCGUGGGUAGCAAACAGGAUUAGAUACCCUGGUAGUCCACGCAGUAAACGUUGUUCACUAGGUGUAGCGGGUAUUGACCCCUGCUGUGCCGCAGUUAACGCAUUAA